GAUUUAGCUCAGUUUGGUAGAGCACUUGGUUUGGGACCAAGGGGUCACAGGUUCGAAUCCUGCAAUC
Molecule: transfer RNA, 67 nt
Filed under: human gut metagenome
Rfam family: tRNA
About the family: Transfer RNA (tRNA) molecules are approximately 80 nucleotides in length. Their secondary structure includes four short double-helical elements and three loops (D, anti-codon, and T loops).
Source: RNAcentral